This 369-nucleotide ribosomal RNA is filed under the name uncultured bacterium. RNAcentral describes it as "bacterial SSU rRNA". It matches the Rfam family "Bacterial small subunit ribosomal RNA", at positions 1116 to 1482 of the family's 1533-position model. The record is from RNAcentral.
UACCAUCAUUAAGUUGGGGACUCUGGAAGGACCGCUGCGGUAACAACGCAGAGGAAGAUGGGGACGACGUCAAGUCAUCAUGGUCCUUAUGUCCGGGGCUACACACGUGCUACAAUGGCAGUUACAGAGGGGAGCGAAGCGGUAACGUGGAGCGAAUCUCAGAAAAGCUGCCUCAGUUCGGAUUGAGGUCUGCAACUCGACCUCAUGAAGCUGGAAUCGCUAGUAAUCGCGUAACAUCAUGACGCGGUGAAUACGUUCCCGGGCCUUGUACACACCGCCCGUCAAGUCAGCCGAGUGGAGUGCACCCGAAGGAGGUGGGCUAACCCGCAAGGGGAGCAGCUUUCGAAGGUGUGCUUCGUGAGGAGGACU